GUCUGGGUGGCUCAGUUGGUGAAGCAUCUGACUUCAGCUCAGGUCGUGAUCUCACGGUACUUGUGAGUUCCAGCCCCACCUCGGGCU
Molecule: transfer RNA, 87 nt
Filed under: Felis catus (domestic cat)
Lineage: Eukaryota; Metazoa; Chordata; Mammalia; Carnivora; Felidae
Rfam family: tRNA
About the family: Transfer RNA (tRNA) molecules are approximately 80 nucleotides in length. Their secondary structure includes four short double-helical elements and three loops (D, anti-codon, and T loops).
Source: Rfam by way of RNAcentral